AUGUGUCUGUCGACGCUGUCGUGGUCGUCUAGAUCAUAGUAGGCCCUUUGGACGUCGACAAAGGUCGGCGGGCGGUGGUGGCCGCCCACGGCUUCGAUGCCAGCCGGACCGAGCGACGACCACAGGGCCUCGUACGCCGCGGCCACCACGUCCCACACCGUAGUGGGUGACCUUUGGUUCCACUGGUCAGCCAUGCGAUUCAGGCGCGUUGCGGAAAACAUGGACUCGGCAAACAGCCUCUGGGACUCGGCGUCGGGCGCCCACGCCGACCCGCGCAAGAGCGCGGCCACCAUGGGCGGGUCCCACGCGGGACCGCCGUCGACCUUGGCGCGCGACGGUCUGGGCGCGAUGUCGUCGCUGUCGUCUUGGCCGUCGCUGUCGCCACAAGACGAGCCCGUCGAGAGUUGCAACGCAAGAUCGUCCAACGUGCGCUUCAUCAGAAAAGGACGACAACGCUGCCCGCAAAAAAGGCAACAACUUUUGUUCUUUUCGUCGGCCGCGCGGUUGUCUCACAAAACCGAUACGUACCGCGGCGCCGUGAGCGCGCCGCUUUUGUCCUCGUCAGUGUCGACAAGCCACCCGCUUUUUGUUGACUACUGC
Molecule: long non-coding RNA, 600 nt
Filed under: Pandoravirus salinus
Description: putative ncRNA
Source: RNAcentral